Loxodonta africana (African savanna elephant) is the source of this 107-nucleotide small nuclear RNA. The record is from Ensembl. Lineage: Eukaryota; Metazoa; Chordata; Mammalia; Proboscidea; Elephantidae.
GUGCUCGCUUUGGCAGCACAUAUACUAAAAUUGGGACAAUAUAGAAAAGAUUAGUCUGGCCCUUGUGCAAGGAUGACACACAAAUUCUUGAAGCAUUCCAUAUUUUU